RNAcentral lists this ribosomal RNA (254 nucleotides) under uncultured bacterium. RNAcentral's name for it is "partial 16S ribosomal RNA". It matches the Rfam family "Bacterial small subunit ribosomal RNA", at positions 524 to 776 of the family's 1533-position model. The record is from RNAcentral.
UACGGGGGGGAGCAAGCGUUGUUCGGAAUUACUGGGCGUAAAGCGCGCGCAGGUGGUCUUUCAAGUCAGUGGUGAAAGCCCGGAGCUCAACUCCGGAAAUGCCAUUGAAACUGUAAGACUUGAGGAUGAGAGAGGUGAGUGGAAUUCCCAGUGUAGAGGUGAAAUUCGUAGAUAUUGGGAAGAACACCGGUGGCGAAGGCGGCUCACUGGCUCAUAUCUGACGCUCAGGCGCGACAGCGUGGGGAUCAAACAGG